GAUGAACGCUGGCGGCGUGCCUAAUACAUGCAAGUCGAACGAGUUUCUCGUUGAUGAUCGGUGCUUGCACCGAGAUUCAACAUGGAACGAGUGGCGGACGGGUGAGUAACACGUGGGUAACCUGCCCUUAAGUGGGGGAUAACAUUUGGAAACAGAUGCUAAUACCGCAUAGAUCCAAGAACCGCAUGGUUCUUGGCUGAAAGAUGGCGUAAGCUAUCGCUUUUGGAUGGACCCGCGGCGUAUUAGCUAGUUGGUGAGGUAAUGGCUCACCAAGGCGAUGAUACGUAGCCGAACUGAGAGGUUGAUCGGCCACAUUGGGACUGAGACACGGCCCAAACUCCUACGGGAGGCAGCAGUAGGGAAUCUUCCACAAUGGACGCAAGUCUGAUGGAGCAACGCCGCGUGAGUGAAGAAGGCUUUCGGGUCGUAAAACUCUGUUGUUGGAGAAGAAUGGUCGGCAGAGUAACUGUUGUCGGCGUGACGGUAUCCAACCAGAAAGCCACGGCUAACUACGUGCCAGCAGCCGCGGUAAUAA
This 535-nucleotide ribosomal RNA is filed under the name Lacticaseibacillus paracasei. RNAcentral describes it as "bacterial SSU rRNA". It matches the Rfam family "Bacterial small subunit ribosomal RNA", at positions 28 to 526 of the family's 1533-position model. Lineage: Bacteria; Bacillati; Bacillota; Bacilli; Lactobacillales; Lactobacillaceae. The record is from RNAcentral.